Molecule: ribosomal RNA, 429 nt
Filed under: uncultured bacterium
Lineage: Bacteria
Description: bacterial SSU rRNA
Rfam family: Bacterial small subunit ribosomal RNA
Source: RNAcentral
UGGGGAAUAUUGGACAAUGGGCGAAAGCCUGAUCCAGCAAUGCCGCGUGUGUGAAGAAGGCCUUCGGGUUGUAAAGCACUUUCAGUAGGGAAGAAAAGUUAUAGGCUAAUAACCUAUAGCCCUGACGUUACCUACAGAAGAAGCACUGGCUAACUCUGUGCCAGCAGCCGCGGUAAUACAGAGAGUGCGAGCGUUAAUCGGAAUCACUGGGCGUAAAGCGCGCGUAGGUGGAUUCUUAAGUCGAAUGUGAAAGCCCCGGGCUCAACCUGGGAACUGCAUUCGAUACUGGGUUUCUAGAGUAUGAUAGAGGGAAGUGGAAUUUCCGGUGUAGCGGUGAAAUGCGUAGAUAUCGGAAGGAACACCAGUGGCGAAGGCGACUUCCUGGAUCAAUACUGACACUGAGGUGCGAAAGCGUGGGUAGCAAACAGG